This 279-nucleotide ribosomal RNA is filed under the name uncultured bacterium. Its description in RNAcentral is "partial 16S ribosomal RNA". It matches the Rfam family "Bacterial small subunit ribosomal RNA", at positions 506 to 784 of the family's 1533-position model. The record is from RNAcentral.
UGCCAGCCGCCGCGGUAAUACGGAGGGUGCAAGCAUUAAUCGGAUUGAUUGGGCGUAAAGGGCGCGUAGGCGGGGAAAUAAGUCAGAUGUGAAAUCCCAGGGCUCAACCCUGGAACCGCAUUUGAAACUGUUUUUCUUGAGGGUGGACGAAGAAAACGGAAUUCCACAUGUAGCGGUGAAAUGCGUAGAUAUGUGGAAGAACACCGGUGGCGAAGGCGGUUUUCUAGUUUAUUCCUGACGCUGAGGCGCGAGAGCAAGGGUAGCAAACAGGAUUAGAUA